GACGAGGGACCCUAGCGUUGUUCGGAAUCAUUGGGCGUAAAGCGGGUGUAGGUGGCUUUGUAAGUCAGGUGUGAAAGCCCAGGGCUUAACCCUGGAAGUGCAUUUGAUACUGCGAAGCUUGAGUGCUGGAGAGGCUAUUAGAAUUCCUGGUGUAGUGGUGAAAUACGUAGAUAUCAGGAGGAAUACCGGAGGCGAAGGCGGAUAGCUGGCCAGACACUGACACUCAGACCCGAAAGUGCGGGGAUCAAACAGG
RNAcentral lists this ribosomal RNA (253 nucleotides) under uncultured bacterium. RNAcentral describes it as "partial 16S ribosomal RNA". It matches the Rfam family "Bacterial small subunit ribosomal RNA", at positions 524 to 776 of the family's 1533-position model. The record is from RNAcentral. RNAcentral also lists the same sequence under 1 other name.